RNAcentral lists this transfer RNA (73 nucleotides) under Acropora cervicornis. RNAcentral describes it as "tRNA-Thr". It matches the Rfam family "tRNA". Rfam says of the family: Transfer RNA (tRNA) molecules are approximately 80 nucleotides in length. Their secondary structure includes four short double-helical elements and three loops (D, anti-codon, and T loops). The record is from RNAcentral. Lineage: Eukaryota; Metazoa; Cnidaria; Anthozoa; Scleractinia; Acroporidae.
GGCUUCACAGCUCAGUUGGUUGAGCAUCGCACUCGUAUCGCGGAGGUCACGGGUUAGAAUCCCGUUGAAGCCC